RNAcentral lists this ribosomal RNA (253 nucleotides) under uncultured bacterium. RNAcentral describes it as "partial 16S ribosomal RNA". It matches the Rfam family "Bacterial small subunit ribosomal RNA", at positions 524 to 776 of the family's 1533-position model. The record is from RNAcentral.
UACGAAGGGGGCUAGCGUUGCUCGGAAUCACUGGGCGUAAAGGGUGCGUAGGCGGGUCUUUAAGUCAGGGGUGAAAUCCUGGAGCUCAACUCCAGAACUGCCUCUGAUACUGAGGAUCUUGAGUUCGGAAGAGGUGAGUGGAACUCCGAGUGUAGAGGUGAAAUUCGUAGAUAUUCGGAGGAACACCAGUGGCGAAGGCGGCUCACUGGCUCGGUACUGACGCUGAGGUGCGAAAGCGUGGGGAGCAAACAGG